This is a non-coding RNA of Paramuricea clavata, 260 nucleotides long. NCBI's taxonomy places the organism in Eukaryota, Metazoa, Cnidaria, Anthozoa, Malacalcyonacea, Plexauridae. The record is from the annotation of a GenBank genome assembly.
AAGCAAUCUUGUGUGUCCCAGAGUAACAUCAGCAGAAAUAAAAGGAAUAGUAGUACCUUAGUACACCCAUACAUAACCAAAUCGUACUUGUAAACUACAAUCAGUGACAAAAAUCUUUUGGACAGUAAUGUACUAUGAUAUUUGUGAUGUUACUCUGAGUGUAUAUCCACACCGGCCGAGCUUGAAAAUAUGCCCGGUCACGGUGGGAUUCGAACCUACGACCUUUGGAUGUAAACGUAACAAUGUUGGGUCAUUUUGCG